Molecule: long non-coding RNA, 264 nt
Filed under: Panax ginseng (ginseng)
Lineage: Eukaryota; Viridiplantae; Streptophyta; Magnoliopsida; Apiales; Araliaceae
Description: long non-coding RNA (PGIN_LNC011778)
Source: RNAcentral
AUGAAUUUCUUGCUGAUUUGCAUUGAAGAUAAAAUUUUAUAGUUUUUACAAUUAGUUGGAUAAAGUUUGGUUUUGACAGUUUUGAGGGAGUUGGGGCUUAAUUUAGUCUAUUCAAGUUUGUUAUUAUCUAUUAUGAUUGUUGGGUGCUUGUACACUGGUUAUUGAACAUUCAAACAAGGGAGAGAAAGGGGCUAUAAAACAGCGCCCUCAAGGUGUUCGAUAAAAGUUCUGAGAGUAGGAAAAGUUGAUUUUUGAGCAAGUUAG